ACCCAUGACGAAUCAACGGCGGAGAUUAGUACACUGCUUCUUUGCCCUUUGCAGUACAGCGGUACCGUAAAACAGGUCUCUGCUCACGAUCGAGCGGGCUUUGCGAAGGGGACAAGGAGGCGAGAGGACAGACAGCCAAUGCAGUGCAGAUCCCGAGGUCAACACGAGUCGAGCCGAGCCAAAAUCCAGAGUCCCCGUCGAGAGUUUAAAGAAUGCCACAAGCAUACAGCGAGAACACAGCUCAUCAUCAGAAGCGAGAGGUCAGAGCUGAGCGCGCACUGUGCAGCUCUCACUCUCUGUCUCAGUGGCGGCUAGACUACUCGAGCUGUGGUCUGAUCAGUGGAUACUGGAUAGUACAUCUCGAUCUGAUCCGCCGCCUAGCAAGACAGCUCCAUCGGGUAUGCAUCGCAGGAGAGCCACCACCAUCUUGACGCUCGUCGUGGUCACCUUCCUCCUCGUCAUCAUGGAUUCCGGCGAGGUCUCCGCACGUCGCCUGCUGCCGAGUCCUCCCCGUCCAGCACUGCUGCUCUUGAGUGGCGACGCCGGCGGCAGGAGCCGGCUCAUGCAUGAGAGGAGGAGCUGGGACUGGGAGCCUCAAAUAAUUGGGGAGAAGGCGGCUGCCGUGGGAUCAUUAACCGCGAUGACGAGGCGCUUGCUGGGGCAGAGGAAGCCUGGGAGUCCUCCGUCGCCGAAGCCCCACGGCAUGACGACCAUGUUCAGGCCCCUGCCGCCGCCGCCACCGCCGGUCACCGAAUAGAGGUGCCGUGACGGGGGCCUUUGGUUCGGGGCACGUACGAGCACGAGAUGAUGGUGGGCUGGGCUUCGAUCGUUCCGGUUGGUCUCCUCGUGUUGUCGCGCUGGUACCUUGGGCGAACCGAAACAAGCCGUUCGCUGUGGACAAGGAAACUACUGCUCCAUUUCGAAACACUGUAAAAAUGAGACGCCGUGCUGCACCGUUCGAUCCCUCCAUGCGUGGCCACGCUCGCUAUCGGUUCCAGCUUUGCACCUUUGAUAUGUUGUUCGAAAGAAAAAAGAACACUCUCCAUACGAAGUCGUGGGGGACUUGCCACGAGUUCCUUCUUUAUAUCUUUGAUUUGGCCACGAGUUUGUUCAAAAUGUAAAGUGCAUCCUGGCUGUUGUGGUUUGUGUGGAACAAGGUCUGUCACUCUGUAUUCGAAUCAAAUGAGUAAAUUACUCAGAACUGCCAUGUUUGAUUGAUUCAACAUUCUAUUGUAA
Long non-coding RNA from Brachypodium distachyon (stiff brome), 1236 nucleotides. RefSeq lists it as uncharacterized. The transcript is spliced from 2 exons. Lineage: Eukaryota; Viridiplantae; Streptophyta; Magnoliopsida; Poales; Poaceae. The record is from RefSeq and is a predicted model, not a curated record.